Molecule: long non-coding RNA, 2453 nt
Organism: Scophthalmus maximus (turbot)
Lineage: Eukaryota; Metazoa; Chordata; Actinopteri; Pleuronectiformes; Scophthalmidae
Exons: 2
Source: RefSeq, a predicted model, not a curated record
AAAGUAAUUAUGGAUGUUAUGAGAACAGCGUGUGAAGGGCUCGGUGCCAGGAAACGGUCUUGUCUGCACCUGCUGUAAACACCACUGCUGGAUUCGAGGCUACAACUGUUUUUUCCCGACUGCACUCACCGACGGACUGUCUGGUGCCGGUGGCGAGGUCCUGGGCGCAGGCGGCGGCGCUCGGGCCGCAGCUGGUCGCCGGCGAAGACUCGCAGAGCUUCAACGUGUAGCUCACUCUGUUGUCGCGGUCGAUAGCUUCCCACUUAUAUCUGCAACACAAGGGAAAAAGACAGAUGGGAUCAAACCUUGUGGUGAAGAGGCCUGUCGACAACGACAGCAACAAAAGUGAGAGGCUUGCAACUGUGGUUGCGGAAACUAACGAUUACUUCUUUUACCAUCUAAUUAUUGCGCACCACAAUUUUCCUGACACGAAGAAAAUCGUAACAUUUGAGGAGCUGGAGCCUGACAAAAAAAUAUUCAUUAAUGAAGGAUUUAAACAAUAGUUAUGCAAGAUUCUUUACAUUUUUUAAAUUUAAUAAAUACAUUUUUAUGAAUUUAAAUUGUUUUGCAGAGCAGAAACAGUCAAACAAGAGAAAAAUAAUCAGCAACUUUUUUUAUGUUUUAAUUAAUUUUUAAGCCAAAAUGACAAAAAGGGUUAUUUUGUCAUUUUGAAAUUUUUUACAAUGGGCUUUGGGGAAAAUUAAAAUGGAUAUGUUUUGUUGCUUACUGACAUUAUUUCAAUCAAACAAUUGAACAAUUAGAUCAAGAGCUAGUAGAUACACGAGACGAAUGGUUUCCAUUAAAUAUGAUCAAAUUUCAGUCAGUCGAGAAAGUGAAACUGAAGAGACGCCGGUCUCUACAACAGCGAACAAUGAUUCAAAGCAGAAGUCGAAAUCCAUCGUGAAACCACUUCAAGAAGAGCGAGCGGAAGCGUCUGGAACGACCCACGUUGUCCUCUGACCUGAACGCAACUAAAAAAUGAUCUGUGGGUGGAUCUCAACACACUGAAAAUAUCUCUGAGGAGGAGGAGGAGCGGGGGAAAAGCCCAAAAUCAGGAGUAAAAACACUUUAAGCUGGCUGCAAAAGGUUUGCCAAAGGGCGUACGAACUUUGUGGGACACAAACCCAAUUCUAUUUUUAUUCACGAAAUAAAAGAAGAUAAUUAACAUUUGAAACUGGUGACCGAUGGCUCGUUGCUGCAGGGGAUGAAUUUACUUCAACAUAAUCACCAAAAACAUGUAAAUUGCUUCAACAGCUACUACUUUUUGUUGCACGAUAUAUUGUCCCAGAAAAUAUUGCAAUAAACAAUAUUAUCGUCAUUUAAAGACCUUUUUUACAGUAUAGGUCUGUAGGACCUUCAUUCUUAUGUCAACAAACACACAUGUUGACACAUCGGCUGUUAUUGAAGCCAUUGAAAAUGAUUGACUUCAUAUUCAUUUAAUCAUAAGAUAAGUGGAUAACGUGACAGGCCUACCCCGCGACACACAAACCUUUUGCACACAACGUUGAGCAAAUAAUUAGAAUAAUAAUCCCCCUCUAACCUCUGCGUAUUAUCUACAUUUGGAAGUUAAACCUACCAAAAGUUCCUGGUGAACUGUUUCUGAUUGUCAUCGGCCUUUUCUCAUGAAACAGUGAACACGGGAUCUGGUUCCUGCCUCGGCGCUGCGUCAAUAUUUGAACAGCAGCCGCCUGCACAGGGCUCAGUAAAAGGAGGACAACGCUGUGUUUGGUCAACAGAUUGUUCAGUCUGUAAUGUAAAGUUAAAGCCAAUGAGAGGUGGAGGAAACACUAAAGUAAAAGUCCUUAUACUGUACUUUAAAAGUACAAGUUAAAGUACUGCUUCCUAAGUAUUACGAAUUGUAAGAACUGUAGCUAAGUUAAAAGGAGGAGCAGUCAGUGCAGGACAGUAGUGACUGUUAUACUAAUCAGAUAUAAUGAUAUAAUAUUAAACUGGAAUAUUAUUAAUAACACAAAUUGCACAUCUUCUUUAGGUUGUGGGCGGAGCUAGCUCAGAUCUCAUUUACAGUAGAAAGGGCUGCGAUUGCAAUCGGUUUGUUUUCAUUAUGUUUUGUGCACCAGUUUAUUUGAUUGAUUGAUUGAUUGAUUGAUUUUAAAAGACCAAAGCGACACCUCCACAAUGCUGGUUUUCCCCCAACUUCACAAUUAUUAAAAGAACAAAUUAAAGUUAGAUCGUCAUAUUUGAAAAACGGGAAACAUGAUUUAUUCUUGUGUUUUUACAAAAAGAAAAAUAUGAAUCAAUAGAUUUUUUUGUGCUUCUGUGAUUCAUCAACUAACUCUUAACUGAAGUUCUACUUGUAUCAACUGUUGGCUGAUGCUUUUAUAAUCGUUCUCUAUGCUCUUCUUACUGUAGGUAUGCUAAAAUAUAUAAAUAUGUUUUAAAGAAACUUGUAACUGAAGCUGGCAAAUAAAUGGAAUAAGUGUUUUAAAAAAGUA